GAUGAACGCUGGCGGCGUGCCUAACACAUGCAAGUCGAACGAAGCACAUUGGAUUGAUUCUUCGGAAGAAAGAGAAUGUGACUGAGUGGCGGACGGGUGAGUAACGCGUGGGUAACCUGCCUCAUACAGGGGGAUAACAGUUAGAAAUGACUGCUAAUACCGCAUAAGACCACGGAGUCGCAUGACUCAGUGGGAAAAACUCCGGUGGUACAGGAUGGGCCCGCGUCUGAUUAGCUUGUUGGCGGGGUAACGGCCCACCAAGGCGACGAUCAGUAGCCGGUCUGAGAGGAUGAACGGCCACAUUGGAACUGAGACACGGGUCCAAACUCCUACGGGAGGCAGCAGGUGGGAAU
This 353-nucleotide ribosomal RNA is filed under the name uncultured bacterium. RNAcentral describes it as "bacterial SSU rRNA". It matches the Rfam family "Bacterial small subunit ribosomal RNA", at positions 28 to 362 of the family's 1533-position model. The record is from RNAcentral.